Molecule: small nuclear RNA, 103 nt
Organism: Delphinapterus leucas (beluga whale)
Lineage: Eukaryota; Metazoa; Chordata; Mammalia; Artiodactyla; Monodontidae
Source: Ensembl
GUGAUUGCUUCAGCAGCACAUAUACUAAAAUUGGAACAAUACAGAAAUUAGCAUGGCCCCUGCCAAGGAUGACAUGGAAAUACAUGAAGCUUUCCAUAUUUUU